This 3100-nucleotide long non-coding RNA is filed under the name Sus scrofa (pig). Its description in RNAcentral is "lncRNA (ENSSSCG00040018741.1)". Lineage: Eukaryota; Metazoa; Chordata; Mammalia; Artiodactyla; Suidae. The record is from RNAcentral.
UUCCCAGGCUAGGGGUUGAAUCGGAGCUGUAGCCACUGGCCUACGUCAGAGCCACAGCAACUUGGGAUCCGAGCCGCAUCUGCAACCUACACCACAGCUCACGGCAACGCCGGAUCCUUAACCCACUGAGCAAGGCCAGGGACCGAACCCGCAACCUCAUGGUUCCUAGUCGGAUUCGUUAAUCACUGCGCCAUGAUGGGAACUCCUGGAUUCGUUUUUGUUGCUCUUUUUUCUUCCCUUCUUGUUCUCUCUUCUUGUGGUUUGAUGACUAUCUUUAUUAUUGUAUUUGAGUUGCUUUUUCUUAUUUGUGUGUAUCUAUUGUAGAUUCUUGGUUGACAGUUACCCUGAAGUUUUUUUUUUUUUGUUUUUGUUUUUGUUUUUUGUCUUUUUGCCUUUUCUAGGGCCGCUCCCGCGGCAUAUGGAGAUUCCCAGGCUAGGGGUCUAAUUGGAGCCAUAGCCACUGGCCUACGCCAGAGCCACAGCAACACGGGAUCCGAGCCGUGUCUGUCACCUACACCACAGCUCACUGCAACGCCAGAUCCUCAACCCACUGAGCAAGGCCAGGGAUUGAACCCACAACCUCAUGGUUCCUAGUUGGAUUCAUUAACCACUGCACCACGACGGGAACUUCCCUGAAGUUUCGGUAUAGGAGUCUAUAUAUAUAUAUACAAGAUUGUUUUAAGUUGUUGGUCUCCUAAUUGCAAGUGCACCUCCAGUGUCCUGCAUUAGUACCCUCCUCUUCUCACGAUUUCUGAUUUUGGUAGCAUAUUUGUGCAUGGAUGAUUUCCUACCUUUACUGUAUUUUUCCUUUCCUGGCACACCUUGUCAUUUGUAGUAUUUUUGUUUUUAGUUUUGCCUUUUCUCUUCUGCCUAGAGAAGUUCCUUUAGUAUUUGUUGUAACUGGUUCAGUGUUGCUGAAUUCUCUUAGCUUUUGUUUAUCUGUAAAGCUUUUGAUUUCUCCUUCAAAUCUGAAUGAAAGCCUUGUUGGGUAGAGUAAUCUUGGUUUGAGGUUUUUUUCCUUUCAUCACUUUAAGUAUAUUGUGUCACCCCCUUCUGGCCUGCAGAGUUUCUGCUGAAAAAUCUGCUGAUAACCUUAUCAAGGUUCCCUUGUAUGUUAUUUAUUUCUUUUCCCUAGUUGCUUUCAGUAUUUUCUCUUUGUCUUUAAUUUUGGUCAGUUUGAUUAAUAUGUGCUCAGGGCGUUUCUCCUUGGGUUUAUUUUAUGUGAUACUUGUGGUGCUUCCUAGAUUUGAGUGAGUGAUUCCUUUCCCAUGUUAGGGAAGUUCUGGGCCAUUAUCUCUUCAGAUAUUUUUUUCUGGCCCUUUAUCUCUCUCUUCUCAUUCUGGAACCCCUGUAAUACGGAUGUUGGUGUGUUUAACGUUGUCCUAGAUUUCUCUUAGACUGUCUUCAUUUCUUUUCAGUCUUUUUUCUCUUUUCUGUUCCAUAUCAGUAAGUUCCACUAGUCUGUCCUCCACCUCGCUUAUUCGUUCUUCUGCCUCCUGUAUUCUCCUGUUGGUUGCUUCUAAUGAAUUUUUUAUUUCUGUUACUGUAUUUUGCAUCUCUGCUUGCUUAAGCCUUAAACCUUGUUAUUUCUUUGCUCAGUGUUUGCUGUAAUUUAUCAGUCCUUGCCUCCAGUUUAUUUCCAAUGUCUUGAAUCAUCUUCACUAUCAUCAGUCUAAAGUCUUUUUCCGGGAGGCUGAUAAUCUCCAGAUCAUUUAGCUGUUUUUCUGUGAUUUUUUUUCUCACUCCUUUCUUUGAGUUAUAGUGCUUUGCUUUUUCAUUUUGUAUAGGUUUUUGUUUUUGCAGACAAUAGAGUUGUAGCUUCUCUUACUUCUGAUGUCCACCACACCCCUCUGGCUGAAGUUGUCACAGGGGCUUACUAUAGGCUUCCUGAUGGAAGUGACUGGUGCCUUCCCACUGCUGCCAACACGUAGGAGCCCUUGGUGGAGUCUCAUGGGUCAGAAAUGAUUGUCUCCACUGGGCACCAAAAGAAUGUUUAUGUCCUCACCUCUGUCAAGACUGUUCAAAUGGGCACCUUUAUCAUGUGACUCUUAAAGCCCACCUUCCUUAUCCUUCAGGGGCCCUGACGUCUAGUGCCUCGUCAGAAGUCUUACCCUGACGCUCACUCACAGGGUACUGGACCACCGUAACAGAGGUGAUCUUCAGGCUGGAGCAAGGAGAAGAGCUGUGGCUGUUAGAGAAUUCCCAGGCUGGAGGGGUCCAGACAGAAGAAAGGAAAACCAAGAUAAACAUUUGUGGCAAGUUUCACUUAUCAGCAAAAAAAAUACUAAGAAGAGAGAUAUUUUCAGAAAAAUACCUUGUCAAUAUGACUUAGGUGGAGUGAGUUUGAAAAAUGUCUCAGAAUCAGUUAUUAGUGAUAAAAGUCAUGCAAGUAAAAAUUCUCAUGAAGUUAAUCCAUGUGGGAAGUUGCUUCCUGAUAAUAAUCAAGGCAGUACUCCUACUGGAAAGAAAUCUGAUGAACAUAACCAAGAUGGGGAAAAAGACCUUAUUGGACAACAGAAAAUUCAGCCUUUAGGGCCACCUCUUGAAGAUCAUGAAUGCAGAGCAGCUGUCAGUGAGGCAGCCACCAUCACACCUCAGAGGGCCCCAAAAGAGGGAAAAUUCCAGGAUCCUAAGGAAUAGGGGGGAAAUAUCAGCAACCAGUCAGCCCUCAAAGUCUGGCACAAAGCUCCCACAAGGAAGAAUCACUUUGAAGUUCAUGAGUGUGAGAAGUCAACUCUGUUUAAACAUGAGAAAAUUAACAUGGAGGAAAAAACCCAUGAAUCUAAUGAAAAUGGGAAUAAUUUCAGGCUGAAGACCCACCUCGCUCAACUUCAUAAAACUCCCACGGGAAAGAAAACGUUUGAAUGCCAUCAUGGCAAUAAUUCUUUUUACCAGGAAUCACACCUCACUCAACAUGAGAAGACACACACAGAAGAGGAACUAUAUGACAGUAACAAAUGUGGAAAAAACUUCCACAAAUCAUAAGCUACUGACCCUCAAAGAACUCAAACAGGAGAGAAACCCAGUGAAUGUGAUAGUGCCUCUGGGAAGCCAGCCAUUACUGAUCAGCAGAGAACAUAGGAAAACUUGAUGUAUGUAA